This 620-nucleotide ribosomal RNA is filed under the name uncultured Alteromonas sp. RNAcentral's name for it is "bacterial SSU rRNA". It matches the Rfam family "Bacterial small subunit ribosomal RNA", at positions 69 to 689 of the family's 1533-position model. Lineage: Bacteria; Pseudomonadati; Pseudomonadota; Gammaproteobacteria; Alteromonadales; Alteromonadaceae. The record is from RNAcentral.
ACAUUUCUAGCUUGCUAGAAGAUGACGAGUGGCGGACGGGUGAGUAAUGCUUGGGAACUUGCCUUUGCGAGGGGGAUAACAGUUGGAAACGACUGCUAAUACCGCAUAAUGUCUUCGGACCAAACGGGGCUUCGGCUCCGGCGCAAAGAGAGGCCCAAGUGAGAUUAGCUAGUUGGUAAGGUAACGGCUUACCAAGGCGACGAUCUCUAGCUGUUCUGAGAGGAAGAUCAGCCACACUGGGACUGAGACACGGCCCAGACUCCUACGGGAGGCAGCAGUGGGGAAUAUUGCACAAUGGGGGAAACCCUGAUGCAGCCAUGCCGCGUGUGUGAAGAAGGCCUUCGGGUUGUAAAGCACUUUCAGUUGUGAGGAAAAGUUAGUAGUUAAUACCUGCUAGCCGUGACGUUAACAACAGAAGAAGCACCGGCUAACUCCGUGCCAGCAGCCGCGGUAAUACGGAGGGUGCGAGCGUUAAUCGGAAUUACUGGGCGUAAAGCGCACGCAGGCGGUUUGUUAAGCUAGAUGUGAAAGCCCCGGGCUCAACCUGGGAUGGUCAUUUAGAACUGGCAGACUAGAGUCUUGGAGAGGGGAGUGGAAUUCCAGGUGUAGCGGUGAAAUGC